RNAcentral lists this ribosomal RNA (497 nucleotides) under uncultured bacterium. RNAcentral describes it as "partial 16S ribosomal RNA". It matches the Rfam family "Bacterial small subunit ribosomal RNA", at positions 28 to 507 of the family's 1533-position model. The record is from RNAcentral.
GAUGAACGCUGGCGGCGUGCCUAAUACAUGCAAGUCGAGCGAACAGAUAAGGAGCUUGCUCCUUUGACGUUAGCGGCGGACGGGUGAGUAACACGUGGGUAACCUACCUAUAAGACUGGGAUAACUUCGGGAAACCGGAGCUAAUACCGGAUAACAUUUGGCACCGCAUGGUUCUAAAGUGAAAGAUGGUUUUGCUAUCACUUAUAGAUGGACCCGCGCCGUAUUAGCUAGUUGGUAAGGUAACGGCUUACCAAGGCGGCGAGACGUAGCCGACCUGAGAGAGUGAUAGUCCGCAGUGGAAGUGGAACACGGUCCAGACUCCUACGGGAAGCCGCAGUAGGCAACCUUCGGCAGUAGGCGAGAGCAUGACGGAGCAACGCGGCGAGAGUGAUGGAGGGUUUGCGCUCGGGAGGCACUGUUAUUAGGGAAGAACAAAUGUGUAAGUAACUGAAGACGUCUUGACGGUACCUGAUCAGAAAGCAACGGCUAACUACGUG